GAUGCAUUGGUACCACUCUAAACGUGCUAACAAACAGGGAAGGGGGCUAAAUAAUUCACCAUAUUAAACCAAAAGUUUAACCAAAAAAUCCUAGCUUGCACUUUCUGUCUGUCUUCCAUCAGAGUGCAGUUUUUCCUUGUCUUUCAUAUUUGCGUUUACUAUUGUGGAACUGGCAAAGACCUGGUGGUUGUGUGUGAAAAAGAGACAGAGA
Molecule: long non-coding RNA, 211 nt
Organism: Sander lucioperca (pikeperch)
Lineage: Eukaryota; Metazoa; Chordata; Actinopteri; Perciformes; Percidae
Exons: 3
Source: RefSeq, a predicted model, not a curated record